This 521-nucleotide long non-coding RNA is filed under the name Papio anubis (olive baboon). RNAcentral's name for it is "lncRNA (ENSPANG00000039262.1)". Lineage: Eukaryota; Metazoa; Chordata; Mammalia; Primates; Cercopithecidae. The record is from RNAcentral.
GUUUUCCAACACUCGACAGGCUGACACAACUCUUCUGCACACUCUGGUGUUUGUGUCUGUCACUCUGCACACUCUGGUGUUUGUGUCUUCUGGUGAUCCUGGAUUAUCAAGCCGUGACAAUGUUGAUGGUUGCAUGUCAGGAGCAGAUAAUAUUGAUGACUAACAGCAAAUGGAUUCCUGAUUCUUAGAUGAGUACAAUGUUGCCCAGAAAAAGAAUGACAUAUAUCCACCUAUUCUGCAUCUUUAUGGGCCAUAUGAAUAGUUCUGACCAAUUACAUAAACAAGAAAUAUUGAGUGAUGCCUCUGGAACUGUAGUUGCCUUCAAGGAACUGAAGACCCAGAGCAAAGAUCUCCAAAGAACAACGUGUAUGCACAGGCUGUGGCAGAGAAUGCUGGAUGUGGCACUUGCUGGAGCUGACAAAUCUACUUGUGCUGGCAGGGUGUGGGAUGCUGCCUGUUCCCUGAGGUGGGCAGCUGACAGACAAGCAAAGAAGCCUUUAAAGACUGACUUAGGAUAUUAA